Molecule: long non-coding RNA, 429 nt
Organism: Ornithorhynchus anatinus (platypus)
Lineage: Eukaryota; Metazoa; Chordata; Mammalia; Monotremata; Ornithorhynchidae
Exons: 6
Source: RefSeq, a predicted model, not a curated record
GAGACUGAAUGACAGAAAAUGAGCUACAAUUUCUUCGAAAAACCACUCAAGACUUGCCAACCCAGAAUGAUGGUGCCUAAACUAAUUCCUCCUUGCACAGUCUGUGGAUAGUACACUUUCUCGUCUGAGGGGCGCUCAUUACCAUGUGUAUGACACCACAUGGCUGUUUCCCUGUUACCAAGCGAAAGUUACCAGUGCUUUGUAGAGAGGAGGAGAUCAAUAAAUAGAACUGAUUGCAAGGUCAGAAGGGGAGAGACAAUGAGAUUUAUGGCCCAUUUCAAGACCAAAAGGCAAAAGCACUGGGCUGGGAGACCCACAAUGAAUGGCCGCUGGCCCAGAGUUACGAAGGAUAAUCAAGAGAUGGCUGCAACAACUAGCAAGAACCAAGACCCUCCAGGGGUAGCCCAUCCACCUCUGCAUCAAACAAAA